RNAcentral lists this transfer RNA (65 nucleotides) under Gorilla gorilla gorilla (western lowland gorilla). It matches the Rfam family "tRNA". From Rfam's summary of the family: Transfer RNA (tRNA) molecules are approximately 80 nucleotides in length. Their secondary structure includes four short double-helical elements and three loops (D, anti-codon, and T loops). The record is from Rfam by way of RNAcentral. Lineage: Eukaryota; Metazoa; Chordata; Mammalia; Primates; Hominidae.
GGGGGUAUAGCUCAGGGGUAGAGCAUUUGACUGCAGAUCAAAAGGUUCAAAUCCGGGUGCCCCCU